RNAcentral lists this small RNA (547 nucleotides) under Histoplasma capsulatum var. duboisii H88. RNAcentral's name for it is "Histoplasma capsulatum H88 hypothetical RNA". The record is from RNAcentral. Lineage: Eukaryota; Fungi; Ascomycota; Eurotiomycetes; Onygenales; Ajellomycetaceae.
AUAUCUCAGAAACACAAAUGAGCUGAUUGAACCAGUUAACCUGGUUCUGCAUUGGCAAUUUUUAAGGAUAGCAGCAUCCUUUUGUCGUACUCAGAGCUGAAAUAAAUCAAAUUGAUCUUGGGGAGCUCUGCGUGUGUAUAUACAGAGUACGGAGGACGCUGUCAAAAGUGACUAACAUCUCACGCGAAGAAUUUUAAGAUAGAAUUAGCUAGGGGUUAAGAAUCAGAAAAGAGAGGUGGAUUAGAAAACUCAGUAGAGGAUUAGAGAUUAGAUUAGAGUAGAGUAUUAGUUAGAGAGUAAAGAAUUUGAGAAACAUAGAGAACACCCCCCUAGAAGCACACAGUUAAGAGAGAAAAGAAUACUGGAGAGUGCGGCUUUAAACGAGGCUCAAAAUUGAACGUAUCAAAUGAGCACUUUCCAACUUUGAAUCCUGUGAUGAUGGUGAGUGAACCACACUGAAAGUUUUUACCAGUCUAAAAAUUUGAACCCCGUUCAACUGUACGCCCGAUGAUGGUCUGCUUAGGCUGGCAUGGUACCAGAAGCAGUC